Molecule: ribosomal RNA, 1059 nt
Filed under: Trichoderma leucopus
Lineage: Eukaryota; Fungi; Ascomycota; Sordariomycetes; Hypocreales; Hypocreaceae
Description: SSU rRNA
Rfam family: Eukaryotic small subunit ribosomal RNA
Source: RNAcentral
GCGUAACUGCAAAUGGCUCAUUAUAUAAGUUAUCGUUUAUUUGAUAAUACUUUACUACUUGGAUAACCGUGGUAAUUCUAGAGCUAAUACAUGCUAAAAAUCCCGACUUCGGAAGGGUUGUAUUUAUUAGAUUAAAAACCAAUGCCCCUCGGGGCUCUCUGGUGAAUCAUGAUAACUAGUCGAAUCGACAGGCCUUGUGCCGGCGAUGGCUCAUUCAAAUUUCUUCCCUAUCAACUUUCGAUGUUUGGGUAUUGGCCAAACAUGGUGGCAACGGGUAACGGAGGGUUAGGGCUCGACCCCGGAGAAGGAGCCUGAGAAACGGCUACUACAUCCAAGGAAGGCAGCAGGCGCGCAAAUUACCCAAUCCCGACACGGGGAGGUAGUGACAAUAAAUACUGAUACAGGGCUCUUUUGGGUCUUGUAAUCGGAAUGAGUACAAUUUAAAUCCCUUAACGAGGAACAAUUGGAGGGCAAGUCUGGUGCCAGCAGCCGCGGUAAUUCCAGCUCCAAUAGCGUAUAUUAAAGUUGUUGUGGUUAAAAAGCUCGUAGUUGAACCUUGGGCCUGGCUGGCCGGUCCGCCUCACCGCGUGCACUGGUCCGGCCGGGCCUUUCCCUCUGCGGAACCCCAUGCCCUUCACUGGGUGUGGCGGGGAAACAGGACUUUUACUUUGAAAAAAUUAGAGUGCUCAAGGCAGGCCUAUGCUCGAAUACAUUAGCAUGGAAUAAUAGAAUAGGACGUGUGGUUCUAUUUUGUUGGUUUCUAGGACCGCCGUAAUGAUUAAUAGGGACAGUCGGGGGCAUCAGUAUUCAAUUGUCAGAGGUGAAAUUCUUGGAUUUAUUGAAGACUAACUACUGCGAAAGCAUUUGCCAAGGAUGUUUUCAUUAAUCAGGAACGAAAGUUAGGGGAUCGAAGACGAUCAGAUACCGUCGUAGUCUUAACCAUAAACUAUGCCGACUAGGGAUCGGACGAUGUUACAUUUUUGACGCGUUCGGCACCUUACGAGAAAUCAAAGUGCUUGGGCUCCAGGGGGAGUAUGGUCGCAAGGCUGAAAUUAAAGU